CCAGGGCAGCAUGGAGAAAUCCUGACUCUAAAAAACAAAAAAAUAAAGAAAAAAGAGAGAAAGUAUUAAGGUGUGGUGUACGGUCCCCGGAGAUAGAGCCAGAGAAGUUAUAGCUCAGCAUGGUGGCUCACACCUGUUUUUGCUUCAGCACUUUGGAGGCCAAGACAGGAAGACUACUGCCUAAGUUGGAAUUACGGGCCUUCGCCACAAGACUUAGCUAAAAAGGUUAUUUCAGUUACUUUCCAUGCUGGGGAUGUAGCUCAGUGGUCGUACCUGCCUAUAGUGUACAUGAUCCUGGGCUCGAUCCGCUCAGCACUGCAGAAUUAACGGACUAGAUAAAAUGACUUUCUUUGUAAGGCUGGCCUUGGCAGCUAGAAAUAUGGGAAAGCACCUGAUUACAUAGUACUGGUUCAGGAAGGCUGUUUGGAGGAAGGAUUAGGGCUGAAAGUGGCCUGUUUGGGAAUUAUUUGGGAAAUAGGUCUGGGAGGCGAGGUAAACAUCUUGGCUUUACGUUGGACAGGAACCGUGGCCUCAGCAAUUCCAUGUUGACAUUUAGCUUGGUCUGCAGGGCCCAUGGCGAACCCCAGAAGUGCCCUGUUAUUUCUGCACCCCUGCUUUGCCACUGGGUCCCGAAUCACCACCAGCUGGGGCUGGGAGCCGUUCCCUCCAUCUUGGGCUAUCGCUUCUGGGCUCCUUUUUCCCCUCUAGAGAUUUUAUUUUCAUGUGUCUUUUGUCUGCACGUAUGUAGACACACCAGGUGUGCUGUGCUCCAUUUUUGGAAGCACACCCAAGACUGCUGUGUCCGGCCUGCUACACAGACAUUUUUAUCUGGAACACUCCUCGUUGAGACAUCUACUUUACCUUAAUCCUUCCACAGAAAAAUUAGCCUAAAGCAGCUGUGUUAGCCGGUCAGUUAUUUUUUCAUUGCAGGAUUCUUGGUUUUCUUGUUUGUUUGUUUUUGGACACAGGGAUUCUCUACAGUUUUGGCUUUGUAGACCAGGCAGGCCUUGAACUCGCUGAGAUCUGCCUGCUUCUGCCUCCCAAGUGCUGUGAUUAUAGGCAUACACCACCACCAUAAAGCAAAAAUUGUUUUUUUAAAGAUGAAUUUGUAUUAAACAUGCCACCACCACCCAGCCUGAUUCCAGGCUUUCUUAAUCUGUCUUUAGAUUUUUUUUAAAGAGAGGUGUGUGUGUGUGGGGGGUCUCAAUGAUGUGGCGACCUACUCCCGUAAACUCAGCACCUAGGAUUCAGAGACGGGAGGAUGAGUUCAAGGUCACCCUGGGCUGUAUUAGACCCUGCCUAAAAAAAGAAAACUGGGUGUGGUGGCACACACCUUUAGCCCUAGAGCACUUGGGAUAUAGAGGCAGGUGGAUCUUGUGAGUGAGUUCGAGGCCAGUCUGGUCUACAAAGCAAGUUCCAGAACAGGCUCGAUGGGGCUGGAGAGAUGACUCAGUGGUUGAGAGCACUGGAUUCUCUUCCGGAAGACUCAAGCUGUAUCCUCAGCACCCACACGACAGCUCACAACUGUCUCUGACUCUAGUCCAGAGCGUAUAUGCUCUCUUCUGGCCUCAGACAUACAUGUAGGCAGAACAUCCAUGUGUACAAAAUAUAUGUGCUUCCUGUGCUGGUCAGCGACUUCUUGGUUCAUUUGACCCACCUGCCUUGUUCUGAGGAGUAGCUGUGACUACACAGGUGUCUCUGGAGUAGCUGUGACUACACAGGUGUGUGUCGCCGCCAUGCUGUGUAGACUCCUGAGAACUGGACAUAACUGAAUCUGGGCUCUUUACUCCCAGUUAGUUAACAGAGUGUUUUGAUCAUGACAUUAGAUAUACUUUAUUGUGUGAGGUUGGAGAUUAUUCUCUUCACAUGCCAAGCAAGACUUUUGUUUGUUUGUUUUUCUUUUCUUUCUUUUUUUUUCCUGUGUAGCCUUAGCCGAUCUGGAAUUCUUACCUUGGCUUCCCACAUACUAGGAUGACACACGUGUGUCACCGUGUUUACUUAUGCGGUGUUGGCAUGGAUGGAACCACGGAUUCUAGGUAAGCACUCCUAUCAAGUGAAUAUCCUCAGCCCCCUAGUGUUCUAACACUGAGCUACAUUCAGGCCAUUGUGGCUUCUGUCUGUCUGUCUGUCUGUCUAUCUAUCUAUCUAUAUCUAUAUAAUUUGAUUUUUUUCCUUCAGAGGCUUUAGCUGUCAUGGAACACAUUCUUUUCUUUUUUUUCUUUUUUUUUUUUCUUUUUGAGACAGUGCUUUUCCGUCCUAGAACUUGCUCUGCAGACCAGGCUGGCCUUGAACUCACAGAGAUCCGCCUGCCUCUGCCUGUGGGGUUAAAGGACUGCACCACCACAUCUAGCUGGACAUUUUCUUGCAUCACUGAACUUCCCUUCUGUUUCUCAGAGAAGCCUGGGCUGCCAUCUAGGCACCUGAGGACCUCCUGCAGGGGCUCCUGCCAUGGCACAUUCCCUGGGAAUAUCCCUUGCGUUGUCUGGAGCCUGAGCACCCCACCUUGGCAGAGUUCUGGAGACUUCUUUUUAUUAGCAUUUUUCCCUCUUCCUCCCCUUAACUCUUCUUUAGCUCUCUCUCCCUGCUUCUUGAGGCCUCAGCUAUGUACCCUAUGCUGACUUAAAAUGUUUUUGGGGAGGAGGUUGUUGGGACAGAGUCCCAUGUGUGGUCCUGGCUGGUUUGGAACUUUACAUCGAGAACAGCUGACCUCGAUCCUGUGGCCGUUCUCUUGCACUCUGGUGGACAAACAGAGCCCUGGGCAGGCCCGACAGGGCUCUACCACCCAGGGAGCCUUCAGCCCCCAGCCUCAUGUGUGGAUGUGUUGUAGGGUAUUGAGGGCUCUUGUCUGCAUAGUUCCUCUUUUUCUUUAGACUUGGCCUCAACCGCCAUCCUCCCCUGCUUCUCCAAGUUCCAUUCUCCACCUCCUCAGCACUGUACCGCCUGCUCACCACUGUUCCUUGCAGCCCAGAAGUGGCCUCCAUUCAGAUGACCUGGUGACCUGGAAUUGGCCUCUGCCCCUCUACCCAGGGUGCUGGCAGUGAUGCCCAUCCUCCUAUCUGCACACAGCUGCUUGGUAUCUUGGCGAAUCUGGUUCUUAUCACCACAGCUUGCUAAGCAGGAGUGAGUGCCAGACAUUCUAUGGCCCUAGAAUAAAUACCACUAAAAAGCAAGCCGAUGUGAUUAUUUCUAAAUGUAUUUGCUUUGUUUCAGAAGUGACUUCAACAUGUUGCUUUCCUGAGUAGCUAUCAUCAUGUCCUCAUAACCAUUUCAAAAAAACCAACAGAUCUCUGAGGCACUGAGCCUCAGCAUUGUGGAGUCUCCUCCGCCCUGAAGGAAUUCAGCGCAGGCAGCAAACAGGCUGCUUGUUCGCUUCAGGAUCUGCACGGUUUGCUUGAUUAGUUUUUUCAACUUUUUUUUUUGUUGUUUUUGGAGACAGGGUUUCUCUGUGGUUUUGGAGCCUGUCCUGGA
This is a long non-coding RNA of Alexandromys fortis (reed vole), 3468 nucleotides long. RefSeq lists it as uncharacterized. The record is from RefSeq and is a predicted model, not a curated record. The transcript has 3 exons. NCBI's taxonomy places the organism in Eukaryota, Metazoa, Chordata, Mammalia, Rodentia, Cricetidae.